GAAAUUGUGCAGGUUUGUCCCAGGGCAUUGGUUUUCCCUUUCAUAUCAUGUAUAGCUCCAUGGUGAUGCUUCCUGCUCCUGUUUCUUUCACUUCCUCUUCAUCAAGCCUCCUUUCAGAUAUAGUUCAUUCACAUUUACAUUAAGCUCUCUAAAAUUGUAGUUACUGGAUGCAUACAAAACUCUGAGGUGCCAUAUACGGCAGGGAAAAUAAAUGUUGCUGUGCUUUAUUACAAAGAACAAGGAGCAAAGACAAGGGCAUGGGAUAAAUAAGGAUAUAUACAUAUCGGCUAUUCUCCUGCAGAGGAACAAGUAAAUCCCUGAAUCCAGAAUGGAAAUGAUACACUUCUUGAAAGAGGUAAGAAUUUGGCCCAGCCCUGAUCAAUGUUUAUGAUUUUUGUGGGAAAAAUCAAAGGAAAAUAAAACACAUACCCAAAAUACUAAGAAUAAAGG
RNAcentral lists this long non-coding RNA (450 nucleotides) under Canis lupus familiaris (dog). RNAcentral describes it as "lncRNA (ENSCAFG00845020180.1)". The record is from RNAcentral. Lineage: Eukaryota; Metazoa; Chordata; Mammalia; Carnivora; Canidae.